This 633-nucleotide ribosomal RNA is filed under the name uncultured Bacteroidales bacterium. RNAcentral describes it as "bacterial SSU rRNA". It matches the Rfam family "Bacterial small subunit ribosomal RNA", at positions 87 to 714 of the family's 1533-position model. The record is from RNAcentral. Lineage: Bacteria; Pseudomonadati; Bacteroidota; Bacteroidia; Bacteroidales.
GCCGGCGACCGGCGCACGGGUGAGUAACACGUAUGCAACCUGGCCGUCRCAGGAGGAUAACCCGGAGAAAUCCGGCCUAAUACUCCAUAACACCUGAGAGGGACAUCCCUUUUAGGUCAAAGGAAGCGAUUCCGGUGACGGAUGGGCAUGCGGCGCAUUAGCUAGUCGGCGGGGUAACGGCCCACCGAGGCGACGAUGCGUAGGGGYUCUGAGAGGAAGGUCCCCCACAUUGGAACUGAGACACGGUCCAAACUCCUACGGGAGGCAGCAGUGAGGAAUAUUGGUCAAUGGGCGGAAGCCUGAACCAGCCAAGUCGCGUGAGGGAAUAAGGCCCUACGGGUCGUAAACCUCUUUUGCCGGGGAGCAAGUCUGGGGACGUGUCCCUAGAUGGAGAGUACCCGGAGAAAAAGCAUCGGCUAACUCCGUGCCAGCAGCCGCGGUAAUACGGAGGAUGCGAGCGUUAUCCGGAUUUAUUGGGUUUAAAGGGUGCGUAGGCGGGCUUUUAAGUCAGCGGUAAAAAUUCGGGGCUCAACCCCGUCGUGCCGUUGAAACUGGGAGUCUUGAGUGAGCGAGAAGUAUGCGGAAUGCGUGGUGUAGCGGUGAAAUGCAUAGAUAUCACGAAGAACUCCGAUU